This 400-nucleotide transfer-messenger RNA is filed under the name Candidatus Nomurabacteria bacterium RIFCSPHIGHO2_01_FULL_39_10. It matches the Rfam family "transfer-messenger RNA". Rfam says of the family: Bacterial tmRNA, also known as 10Sa RNA or SsrA, is named for its dual tRNA and mRNA-like properties. RNAcentral also lists the same sequence under 2 other names. Lineage: Bacteria; Candidatus Nomuraibacteriota. The record is from RNAcentral.
GGGGAUGCAAGGCAUAGACAGUAGGACUUUUGUCAAAAAUGCAUACCGAGCAUGAACAUAAUCUCGUAAAAAUUUGUUCAAUAGCUUAAUUGCAAAAUUAGCUUCCAAAGUGAAAGCGGCAGUCUCUCCAUACUUCGGUAUGAAUGACUUCGUUUUCGCUCGAGUUUCCGCUUACGCGUAACUCGUGUCUCUCUUAUAGACUUCCGAUAUAUAAGACGGGGCAUAACAUUAUCGGGAUAAGGAAAUAUCCGUUCGAGUAUUUCACGAAAAAUUAGAACUCGAUUAAAAAAUAUUUGGCUCGCUUAAGAAUUUUUUAAUUUUAACCAAAAAGCGCGCUAUGUAUGUAGACUUUUUUGCAAAAACCUUCUGCACACGAGUUCAAUUCUCGUCAUCUCCACAA